GCCCGGGUGGCGAAAUCGGUAGACGCAGGGGACUUAAAAUCCCCCGGCCCUGGCCGUGCCGGUUCGAGUCCGGCCCCGGGCACCA
This 85-nucleotide transfer RNA is filed under the name Thiotrichales bacterium. RNAcentral describes it as "tRNA-Leu". It matches the Rfam family "tRNA". Rfam says of the family: Transfer RNA (tRNA) molecules are approximately 80 nucleotides in length. The record is from RNAcentral. Lineage: Bacteria; Pseudomonadati; Pseudomonadota; Gammaproteobacteria; Thiotrichales.